GCCAGAGUGGCAUAGAGGUUUAAGCGUUGGACUACACCUCUGGAGACCAGGGUUCGAAUCCAGGCUCAAACA
Molecule: non-coding RNA, 72 nt
Organism: Phrynosoma platyrhinos (Desert horned lizard)
Lineage: Eukaryota; Metazoa; Chordata; Lepidosauria; Squamata; Phrynosomatidae
Source: the annotation of a GenBank genome assembly